Molecule: ribosomal RNA, 702 nt
Filed under: uncultured Alphaproteobacteria bacterium
Lineage: Bacteria; Pseudomonadati; Pseudomonadota; Alphaproteobacteria
Description: bacterial SSU rRNA
Rfam family: Bacterial small subunit ribosomal RNA
Source: RNAcentral
AUGCUUCAGACAUGCAAGUCGAACGAGAUCUUCGGAUCUAGUGGCGCACGGGUGAGUCACGCGUGGGAACCUACCUUUCAGUUCGGGAUCACACGUUGGAACACGACUGCUAAUACCGUAUACGCCCUCAGGGUGGAAAGGUCAGCCGCUGAAAGAGGGGCCCGCGUCUGAUUAGUUUGUAUGGUGGGGUAAAAGCCUACCAAGGCUACGAUCAGUAGCUGGUCUGAGAGGAUGAUCAGCCACACUGGGACUGAGACACGGCCCAGACUCCUACGGGAGGCAGCAGUCGGGAAUAUUGGACAAUGGAGGACACUCUGAUCCAGACAUACCGCGUGUGUGAUGAAGGCCCUAGGGUUGUAAAGCACAUUCAACGGUGAAGAUGAUGACGGUAGCCGUAGAAGAAGCCCCGGCUAACUUCGUGCCAGCAGCCGCGGUAAUACGAAGGGGGCCCGCGUAGUUCGGACUUCUUGGGCGUCAAGGGCGCGCAGGCGGUUUGGAUAGUAAGACGUGAAAGCCCUGGGCUUAACCUAGGAACUGCGUAUCAUAACUGCCCAACUAGAGAACUAGACAGGAUAUCGGAAAUCCCAGUGUAAAGGUGACAUACGCACAUAUUGGGAAGAAACAUCGUGGCGACAGCGGUGGCUGGCUGUUCUGACACUGAGCCGACACGUGGGAGCAACAGAUAAAUACCCGGUAGCCACG